Non-coding RNA from Cyanistes caeruleus (blue tit), 591 nucleotides. NCBI's taxonomy places the organism in Eukaryota, Metazoa, Chordata, Aves, Passeriformes, Paridae. The record is from RefSeq and is a predicted model, not a curated record.
GAAAACAAUCCACAGGAAAUAAGCCUCUCAGAUGGGAAUGAUAAGGGAGAGAGGAAGCAAUGAGGAAAGGAGCAGAAAGGAGAUGGGGGAGAAAAGAGCAGUCCACGUCAGCAAAGGAGAGCAGAAUCAGUGCGAACAGCAGCAAUGUGAGAAGGAGCUGCAGACGUUGGAAUCGCACCAUGCCAAGCAGAUGGGAACUCAGAAGCCAGGCAUGAUCCUUUGGGUCAGAAUAUCCAGCAUCCUGCUGGGGAACCACGUCACUGCUCUGCUGGAAGAAAGGAAAGGUUUGAACCACAAUAGAGCAGAACAUCGCUGAAAGCAAAUCUCUACCACCGAGUAUUUCAUCUUUGACAAACUGAUGCCAUGCCAUGAGGAUCAUCUCUUGGCAGGCGUUGUCCAACCCCAGCCAGCUCUUUGGUCUGUGACAGACGGAGGCAGGGACAACAGCUAAAGUGUACCUGCUUUACUGCAAAACAUAUGCUUUUUACAGUCUCCAGGAAAGCUACAGGUGACACGCUGGGAAGACAACCUCACGGUUCAGCAAAUUCACGUCAGCAGGUGCUGCAAGAUAAGUGUCAGUUUUGGCCAUGG